This 496-nucleotide ribosomal RNA is filed under the name uncultured bacterium. RNAcentral describes it as "partial 16S ribosomal RNA". It matches the Rfam family "Bacterial small subunit ribosomal RNA", at positions 29 to 507 of the family's 1533-position model. The record is from RNAcentral.
AUGAACGCUGGCGGCGUGCCUCAUCCCUGCCAGUCGAGCGAACAGACGAGGAGCUUGCUCCUCUGACGUUAGCGGCGGACGGGUGAGUAACACGUGGAUAACCUACCUAUAAGACUGGGAUAACUUCGGGAAACCGGAGCUAAUACCGGAUAAUAUAUUGAACCGCAUGGUUCAAUAGUGAAAGACGGUUUUGCUGUCACUUAUAGAUGGAUCCGCGCCGCAUUAGCUAGUUGGUAAGGUAACGGCUUACCAAGGCAACGAUGCGUAGCCGACCUGAGAGGGUGAUCGGCCACACUGGAACUGAGACACGGUCCAGACUCCUACGGGAGGCAGCAGUAGGGAAUCUUCCGCAAUGGGCGAAAGCUUGACGGAGCAACGCCGCGUGAGUGAUGAAGGUCUUCGGAUCGUAAAACUCUGUUAUUAGGGAAGAACAAAUGUGUAAGUAACUAUGCACGUCUUGACGGUACCUAAUCAGAAAGCCACGGCUAACUACGUG